This 491-nucleotide ribosomal RNA is filed under the name uncultured Chitinophagaceae bacterium. RNAcentral's name for it is "bacterial SSU rRNA". It matches the Rfam family "Bacterial small subunit ribosomal RNA", at positions 415 to 907 of the family's 1533-position model. Lineage: Bacteria; Pseudomonadati; Bacteroidota; Chitinophagia; Chitinophagales; Chitinophagaceae. The record is from RNAcentral.
CCUCUGGAUUGUAAACUUCUUUUAUUUGGGAAAAAACCCCCGAUUUCUAUUGGGGUUGACGGUACCAGAUGAAUAAGCACCGGCUAACUCCGUGCCAGCAGCCGCGGUAAUACGGAGGGUGCGGGCGUUAUCCGGAUUCACUGGGUUUAAAGGGUGCGUAGGCGGGUUGGUAAGUCCGUGGUGAAAUCUCCAAGCUUAACUUGGAAACUGCCGUGGAUACUAUCAGUCUUGAAUAUAGUGGAGGUGAGCGGAAUAUGUCAUGUAGCGGUGAAAUGCUUAGAUAUGACAUAGAACACCCAUUGCGAAGGCAGCUCGCUACACUAUUAUUGACGCUGAGGCACGAAAGCGUGGGGAUCAAACAGGAUUAGAUACCCUGGUAGUCCACGCCCUAAACGAUGAUUACUCGACAUCAGCGAUACACUGUUGGUGUCUGAGCGAAAGCAUUAAGUAAUCCACCUGGGAAGUACGACCGCAAGGUUGAAACUCAAAGG